This 610-nucleotide ribosomal RNA is filed under the name uncultured bacterium. RNAcentral describes it as "bacterial SSU rRNA". It matches the Rfam family "Bacterial small subunit ribosomal RNA", at positions 338 to 953 of the family's 1533-position model. The record is from RNAcentral.
CCUACGGGAGGCAGCAGUGAGGAAUAUUGGACAAUGGGCGCAAGCCUGAUCCAGCCAUGCCGCGCGCAGGAAGACGCAUCUAUGGUGUGUAAACUGCUUUUGUACGGGAAGAAACACUCCUUCGUGAAGGAGCUUGACGGUACCGUAAGAAUAAGGAUCGGCUAACUCCGUGCCAGCAGCCGCGGUAAUACGGAGGAUCCAAGCGUUAUCCGGAAUCAUUGGGUUUAAAGGGUCCGUAGGCGGUUUAAUAAGUCAGUGGUGAAAUCUGGUCGCUCAACGAUCAAACGGCCAUUGAUACUGUUAGACUUGAAUUACUAGGAAGUAACUAGAAUAUGUAGUGUAGCGGUGAAAUGCUUAGAUAUUACAUGGAAUACCAAUUGCGAAGGCAGGUUACUACUAGUGGAUUGACGCUGAUGGACGAAAGCGUGGGGAGCGAACAGGAUUAGAUACCCUGGUAGUCCACGCCGUAAACGAUGGAUACUAGCUGUUGGGCGCAAGUUCAGUGGCUAAGCGAAAGUGAUAAGUAUCCCACCUGGGGAGUACGUUCGCAAGAAUGAAACUCAAAGGAAUUGACGGCUGAGACGAGCGACGACGACGACGAGGGAGGAGG